Molecule: RNA transcript, 2856 nt
Organism: Anopheles arabiensis
Lineage: Eukaryota; Metazoa; Arthropoda; Insecta; Diptera; Culicidae
Gene name: androgen-induced gene 1 protein-like
Exons: 4
Source: RefSeq, a predicted model, not a curated record
UGUUUUCUACUCGUCCGACGGGGGCCCACUUUUUAUUAGAGCUACUUUCCCCCCUCCCGGGUGGUCAAAGUACAGUGUGUUUGAUUGCUCCAGCUUCAGCCUAUCGGUGGCGUCAAGAUAAUCAACUGCCCGCCGCCUUUAAGACCCUCUUUUGCGGAAAGAUGCACAGUCAUCUUCAGCGCGGCACUCGUCAGUGAUACAAACCCGCGGCCAGUGUGAAGAAGGAACUGCUGCUGCUGCUGUACUGCGUCAAGUGUUCUCGGUCGUCGCCCGUUUGAGGAAAGAGCAGCUAGAAGAAAGAAGAAAAGGGCACAAGAAAUUCUAUCACCUCGAGUGCGAUUGAAUCAUCCUCUAAUCAGCGAUGGCCAAAUCAAAGUCUAACGAUGGCUAUCAGCGCGGCGUUUACGGUGCACUCCGUACGCUGAUGCACUUCAUCGUGGCGGUACAGUUCUCGUACGGCAUUUACUACGAUUUUACGUACGUCCACUUUCCACCCGGCAUGCUGCGACCGGGCGGAGAGUUUGGUGGCAAGCUGAAGUUUCUCACCGUAUGGGAUGCGAUUCUACAAGCAGUUUACUUCACCAUUUGUCUGCUGAAUGAUUUCAUCGGUACCAACGAGGUCGCCCCGAAGCGGAUGCCACUCAUCCGCAAGCUGAAGGACUACAUGCUGGCUGCGUUCGCUUUCCCGGUGGCGCUCAAUGUCGGUGUUACCUUCUGGACGCUUAUGGCGAUCGACCGCGAGCUCGUCUUCCCGAAGGCACUGGAUGCCGUAUUUCCUGGCUGGCUCAAUCACGUCAUGCAUACCAACAUCGUGAUCUUCAUGGUGAUCGAGAUUUGCACCAGCUUCCGGCAGUAUCCGUCGCGCAAGGCCGGCCUUACCGGGCUGGGCAUCUUUAUGGCCUCGUACCUCGGCUGGCUGCACGUGGUGCGCCACUUUGGCGGCAUCUGGGUGUACCCGGUGCUGGACGUGCUGAAUCUACCCCAGCGCAUCCUGUUCUUCGCCGUCAGUCUCGGCUUUUGCGUCGGCCUGUACCUGCUGGGCGAGUUCUUUAACAAUCUGAUCUGGACCAAGGAGCUGAAGCAGCUGCGGGCGGCCACAGCCGGCGGCGCUAGUAAGAAGACCAAGUAGACGACGAACCUCGACAGCCGUGCCCCGGUGCCGAGUGACCGCGUUUUAUCCUAUUUCUUUUUUCGUUGGCCUUUUUUGCAUGCAACCAAGGGGGAGAGGGGGCACCAAUGUACUGUCCCUUCCCAAAUGCGUACAAAACAGCUGCAUCGGAAGGGCGAGAGUGUGCAUUUUUAUUUAAUUUAAUACAAACAUCUUGUGAUCGUGUAGCGUUCGUCCCAUGGGAGUUGUGAGUUUGUUGUUUUGCUUUUACUACCAUCACCACCAUCACUUACAUCCGGCAACCGAUUUGGGAUGGUGUGCUCGUAUGUUCCAUUUUUUUGUGCAUUUAAAUUUUUAAACCAUUGAAAGCGGAUAAGCAGAAGCGCAAGCAUUUACGGCUUCAAAACAAGUGCGACUACUAACCAGCGUGUCAUGGGAACACCCACGUGCGUGUGUUUGUUUGAGGGUUGUUUUUUGUUUUGUUUUUGUCCAGUCCCGUGUUCGUCUCGAGAAGUGAUACAUGCAUGCAUUUCGUGUUGUCUCAACCGAUGGUGCUUGAUGAGGCAUCCACCAAACUCGAUACGAUUAAUAUUGUGUAACGCGACGAGAGAGUGGUAGAGGGACACACCCAUCCACACACGAGCAAGAUUCUUUCUGUGCAGCAUCGCUAAGCGUCAAUAAGGGUAUAGCAACAUAGCAAUUAAGCAACAAACACACACACAGAUAAAUAAGCGCAUUUGCAUUUACAACUAGUAUAAUUGUAUUUAAAAUGAGGCAAACCUGAGAACUUGAGAGCUUGGGGUGAAUUCUGGUGGCAGUCGACCAAACCAAAGUAGUAGGUACUUCUAGUACAGUGUGUGUGUGUAACUCAUCCUCAUUCAUUAAGCGUUGUAUUUUGCAGCCAUCCUUUUGCUUGCAUUCGAUGUGUGUUGGUUUUUGUCAUGUACCAUGUCGUAGGCGUUUAUAUGCAUUUAAAGGCAAAUUUUCACUGUUAUAUGCACCCAACACCACCCAGAAGGGAGAGAAACCGCUAUUGAGGUAUAGCUCGUUUAGCAAUUUUUUGACGAAUUUAGAUGUGAAUAAAUUUAGCACUCGUUUUUGUGUGUUUGUGUAUGUAAUACCGAAUAGGGAACGGAAAUAUACUUGCAAAAUUAUAUAAAGCUACACGAAUUAAAAAGACAAGCAAAUUGAACUCAAACUCAUCCAACUACUUCCAUUCUGCGAUUCUGUAAUAUUUGGAAUGUUUGGGGCGGCGCAAAAACGAGCGCAUGAUCUAUCUAAUAUGCGAAAAAAUGGUGAACAUUAUUUACAAUCACGUCAUGCUAUAGCAGAAACGGUGGGCGGUAAACGUACGAAUCCACCCCGGCAAUUGGGCAAAACAUUCUAUUUCGGCCACCUAUAUUUCGUUCUCAUCAUCAUUACCCGCUGUGUAGCAUCUAUUUAAAUGUUGUCGUGAAUGUCAUUGUCAUUGCUGUACGGGUAAUAUCUCGGCCCUUUCGCCAGCACAGCACAUACCGUAGAUAGAGCAAUACCGUAAAAAAGGAAAAGGAAAUUAGAAUAUUAAAAUGGGACAAAUAUUCAAAUUUUGUGCAAAACCCUCUUCCGCGUUUGGUGAGCAAACGAGCGGCGGGGGCAAGAGCAACCAAAAAACUAGCGUUUAGUAGGAUGAUGGUGCGGUGUCAUUUUACAACAUUCAUUCGACUUGCUUAUUAUAUAAAUGAAAAUACAAUAAAAGUACUGGAAAAUCA